Molecule: small nuclear RNA, 115 nt
Organism: Cebus imitator (Panamanian white-faced capuchin)
Lineage: Eukaryota; Metazoa; Chordata; Mammalia; Primates; Cebidae
Gene: U5
Rfam family: U5 spliceosomal RNA
About the family: U5 RNA is a component of both types of known spliceosome. The precise function of this molecule is unknown, though it is known that the 5' loop is required for splice site selection and p220 binding, and that both the 3' stem-loop and the Sm site are important for Sm protein binding and cap methylation.
Source: Ensembl
AUAUUUGGGUUUCUCUUCAAAUCGUAUAAAUCUUUUGCCUUUUACUAAAGAUUUCGUGGAGAGGGAAAAUUCUGAGUCUUAGUCCAAUUUUUUGAGGCCCUGUUUCUGAUGGGCU